This 434-nucleotide unclassified non-coding RNA is filed under the name soil metagenome. RNAcentral's name for it is "partial contains 5.8S ribosomal RNA, internal transcribed spacer 2, and large subunit ribosomal RNA". The stretch from base 3 to 120 matches the Rfam family "5.8S ribosomal RNA", at positions 37 to 154 of the family's 154-position model. The record is from RNAcentral.
GCUGAAGAACGUAGCGAAAUGCGAUACGUAAUGUGAAUUGCAGAAUUCAGUGAAUCAUCGAAUCUUUGAACGCAUAUUGCGCUCUUUGGUAUUCCGAAGAGCAUGCUUGUUUGAGUAUCAGUAAACACCUCAAAGCUUUUGGAUUUUUUAAUCGAAAAGCUUUGGACUUGAGCAAUCCCAACACCAAUCUUUUUGAGAUCGGUGGCGGGUUGCUUGAAAUGCAGGUGCAGCUGGACAUUCUCCUGAGCUAAAAGCAUAUUCAUUUAGUCCCGUCAAACGGAUUAUUACUUUUGCUGCAGCUAACAUAAAGGGAGUUUGACCGUAUUGGCUGACUGAUGCAGGAUUUCACAAGGGUCGGCAACGAUUCUUGUUAAACUCGAUCUCAAAUCAAGUAAGACUACCCGCUGAACUUAAGCAUAUCAAUAAGCGGAGGA